UGGGGAAUUUUGGACAAUGGGCGAAAGCCUGAUCCAGCAAUGCCGCGUGUGUGAAGAAGGCCUUCGGGUUGUAAAGCACUUUUGUCCGGAAAGAAAUCCUUGGCUCUAAUACAGUCGGGGGAUGACGGUACCGGAAGAAUAAGCACCGGCUAACUACGUGCCAGCAGCCGCGGUAAUACGUAGGGUGCAAGCGUUAAUCGGAAUUACUGGGCGUAAAGCGUGCGCAGGCGGUUUGCUAAGACCGAUGUGAAAUCCCCGGGCUCAACCUGGGAACUGCAUUGGUGACUGGCAGGCUAGAGUAUGGCAGAGGGGGGUAGAAUUCCACGUGUAGCAGUGAAAUGCGUAGAGAUGUGGAGGAAUACCGAUGGCGAAGGCAGCCCCCUGGGCCAAAUACUGACGCUCAUGCACGAAAGCGUGGGGAGCAAACAGGAUUAGAUACCCUGGUAGUCCACGCCCUAAACGAUGUCAACUAGUUGUUGGGGACUUCAUUUCCUUAGUAACGUAGCUAACGCGUGAAGUUGACCGCCUGGGGAGUACGGUCGCAAGAUUAAAACUUAAAGGAAUUGACGGGGUCAUAGCUGUUUCCU
RNAcentral lists this ribosomal RNA (587 nucleotides) under uncultured bacterium. RNAcentral's name for it is "partial 16S ribosomal RNA". It matches the Rfam family "Bacterial small subunit ribosomal RNA", at positions 355 to 1375 of the family's 1533-position model. The record is from RNAcentral.